This 619-nucleotide ribosomal RNA is filed under the name Barygenys exsul (Zweifel's Papua frogs). RNAcentral describes it as "partial 12S ribosomal RNA". The stretch from base 1 to 466 matches the Rfam family "Bacterial small subunit ribosomal RNA", at positions 871 to 1533 of the family's 1533-position model. The record is from RNAcentral. Lineage: Eukaryota; Metazoa; Chordata; Amphibia; Anura; Microhylidae.
GCCAGGGAAUUACUAGCCCAAGCUUAAAACCCAAAGGACUUGACGGUGCCCCACCCACCUAGAGGAGCCUGUCCUAUAAUCGAUGCUCCCCGAUCCACCUUACCGCCCCUUGAAUAUUCAGCCUGUAUACCUCCGUCGCAAGCUUACCAUGUGAACGACCCAGUGAGCCCAAAGGCCACCACCCAAACGUCAGGUCAAGGUGCAGCCCACGGGGCGGAAAGAGAUGGGCUACAAUCUCUACCCUAGAACAAACGAAAUACUACGUGAAACACAGUUAUUGAAGGCGGAUUUAGCAGUAAAAAGAAAACAGAGUGUCCUUUUUAACCCGGCCCUGGGGCGCGUACAAACCGCCCGUCACCCUCUUCAACUAAACACCCAAAAGUCAUUAACACCCCCACGACAAUAUAGAAGAGGCAAGUCGUAACACGGUAAGCGUACUGGAAAGUGCGCUUGGAAUAACAAAAUGACCAACAUCUUGCUGCACCAAGAAGCCGUCCACGAAACAGACCAUUUUGAGCCUUACGUCCAGCCCUCCUUACAAUAAUAAAACCCCCUUAACAACCACAGCAAAUAAAACAUUUUCUUGACCUAGUAAAGGCGAUUAAAAAGUAACUAGGAG